This 251-nucleotide long non-coding RNA is filed under the name Brassica napus (rape). RNAcentral's name for it is "long non-coding RNA (BNAP_LNC009074)". The record is from RNAcentral. Lineage: Eukaryota; Viridiplantae; Streptophyta; Magnoliopsida; Brassicales; Brassicaceae.
AUGAUACAAAUAUACAUUAAAACUUUUUUUUUCAUUUCUUUGAAUUUUUCUCAAAAUUUGUGUGUUGACCCCUACAAAAUAUUCAGUUUUUCGGUAAAUAGUUAAUAUACCGAAGCAUAUAAUCUUUAGUGUUGUUUUAAAAUUUCUAACCACAUUCUACGUUUGUAUUAAUGUAUUCUAAACUCUAUUUCAUGGUACAUUGGCAUCGUUCUCUUUUUUUUAAUCAAUUAAUUUAGUAAAACUUCAUAGGC